GAAUGCUGACAUAAGUAACGAUAAAGCGGGUGAAAAGCCCGCUCGCCGGAAGACCAAGGGUUCCUGUCCAACGUUAAUCGGGGCAGGGUGAGUCGACCCCUAAGGCGAGGCCGAAAGGCGUAGUCGAUGGGAAACGGGUUAAUAUUCCCGUACUUGGUGUUACUGCGAAGGGGGGACGGAGAAGGCUAUGUUGGCCGGGCGACGGUUGUCCCGGUUUAAGCGUGUAGGUGUGUGUUCCAGGUAAAUCCGGUUCACUUUAACACUGAGGCGUGACGACGAGGCACUACGGUGCUGAAGCAACAAAUGCCCUGCUUCCAGGAAAAGCCUCUAAGCAUCAGGUAACAUCAAAUCGUACCCCAAACCGACACAGGUGGUCAGGUAGAGAAUACCAAGGCGCUUGAGAGAACUCGGGUGAAGGAACUAGGCAAAAUGGUGCCGUAACUUCGGGAGAAGGCACGCUGACACGUAGGUGAAGUGAUUUACUCAUGGAGCUGAAGUCAGUCGAAGAUACCAGCUGGCUGCAACUGUUUAUUAAAAACACAGCACUGUGCAAACACGAAAGUGGACGUAUACGGUGUGACGCCUGCCCGGUGCCGGA
This 598-nucleotide ribosomal RNA is filed under the name Salmonella enterica. Its description in RNAcentral is "partial 23S ribosomal RNA". It matches the Rfam family "Bacterial large subunit ribosomal RNA", at positions 1292 to 1873 of the family's 2925-position model. Lineage: Bacteria; Pseudomonadati; Pseudomonadota; Gammaproteobacteria; Enterobacterales; Enterobacteriaceae. The record is from RNAcentral.